AGCCCGGGUAUGCCCAGUACGGCGAGUGAAGCGGCAAGAGCUCAAAUUUGAAAUCUGGCCUCCCCUGGGGGCCCGAGUUGUAAUUUGCAGAGGAUGCUUCGGGUGCGGCCGCCGUCUAAGUUCCUUGGAACAGGACGUCAGAGAGGGUGAGAAUCCCGUCUUGGGCGGGCGGUCCGCGCCCGUGUGAAGCUCCUUCGACGAGUCGAGUUGUUUGGGAAUGCAGCUCUAAGCGGGUGGUAAAUUUCAUCUAAAGCUAAAUAUUGGCCGGAGACCGAUAGCGCACAAGUAGAGUGAUCGAAAGGUUAAAAGCACCUUGAAAAGGGAGUUAAACAGCACGUGAAAUUGUUGAAAGGGAAGCGCUUGCGGCCAGACUCGGGGGCGGGGUUCAGCGGGUGCUCGUCGCCCGUGUAUUCCUCGUUUCCCGGGCCAGCAUCAGUUUCGACGGCCGGUCAAAGGCCCCCGGAAUGUGUCGUCUCUCGGGACGUCUUAUAGCCGGGGGUGCAAUGCGGCCCGUCGGGACUGAGGAACGCGCUCCGGCUCGGAUGCUGGCGUAAUGGCCGUAAGCGGCCCGUCUUGAAACCGGACAAAA
Molecule: ribosomal RNA, 589 nt
Filed under: Trichophyton interdigitale
Lineage: Eukaryota; Fungi; Ascomycota; Eurotiomycetes; Onygenales; Arthrodermataceae
Description: partial large subunit ribosomal RNA
Rfam family: Eukaryotic large subunit ribosomal RNA
Source: RNAcentral